UGUAAACAUCCCCGACUGGAAGCUGUAAGAGAAAUUCUAGCUUUCAGUCAGAUGUUUGCU
Non-coding RNA from Chelonia mydas (Green sea turtle), 60 nucleotides. The record is from Rfam. NCBI's taxonomy places the organism in Eukaryota, Metazoa, Chordata, Testudines, Cheloniidae.